UACGGAGGGUGCAAGCGUUAAUCGGAAUUACUGGGCGUAAAGCGCGCGUAGGCGGUUUGAUAAGUCGAUUGUGAAAUCCCCGGGCUCAACCUGGGAUUGCAGUCGAGACUGUCAGACUAGAGUGUGGGAGAGGGUGGUGGAAUUCCCGGUGUAGCGGUGAAAUGCGUAGAUAUCUGGAGGAACACCGGUGGCGAAGGCGGCAUCCUGGACCGAUACUGACGCUGAGGAGCGAAAGCCAGGGGAGCAAACGGG
Molecule: ribosomal RNA, 252 nt
Filed under: uncultured bacterium
Lineage: Bacteria
Description: partial 16S ribosomal RNA
Rfam family: Bacterial small subunit ribosomal RNA
Source: RNAcentral